UACGUAGGGUGCGAGCGUUAAUCGGAAUUACUGGGCGUAAAGCGUGCGCAGGCGGUUUUGUAAGCCAGAUGUGAAAUCCCCGGGCUCAACCUGGGAAUGGCAUUUGGGACUGCAAGGCUCGAGUGCGGCAGAGGAGACUGGAAUUCCUGGUGUAGCAGUGAAAUGCGUUGAUAUCAGGAGGAACACCCAUGGCGAAGGCAGCAUACUGGCCGACCACUGACGCUGAGGCGCGAAAGCGUGGGUAGCAAACAGG
RNAcentral lists this ribosomal RNA (253 nucleotides) under uncultured bacterium. RNAcentral describes it as "partial 16S ribosomal RNA". It matches the Rfam family "Bacterial small subunit ribosomal RNA", at positions 524 to 776 of the family's 1533-position model. The record is from RNAcentral.